GAUUCAUCCUGGCAUCAUGGUACCUGAGUACUUAGAAUGUUGGAAGGUGUGCUCAGUGAAGAUGAAUAAUUUGCCUAAGAGCACUUGACUGGUGAAUCCCAUUCUCUUUUUGCAGUACCCAAGAGCUGGAUGCCUACAUGAUGAAGUCCACAGUGGCUGAGCACCUUCUGUCCCUGGGAUCUCAGACUCUGCCUGCCACAGAGCAGAUGACUGGAAAACCCUCCCCACUUGCUGUCAUUAUUCCUGAAAGGUCUUCAGGUGUGCCAGCAAUUCUCAGAGUGAAUAUCUACACCAGAAAAGCACAUAACUAUCAUGAGCAUAAGAUGUGGGAGUGCCACGGAGUGACCAUAGAAGUAUAGACAGUAAGAUCACAGCCAGAUACAACUUCUUGUUUUAUAGAUGAGAGACCUGAGGCCCAGAAAGAGGAAGGCACUUGCCCAUGGUCACACAGUGAGUUAGUGAGACUGGAGCCCAGGUCUCCAGGGUUCUGUGCAGUGCUAGUCACAGGCUGUUAGGCAAUUGGCUUUCCUGGGUUCUGGUCAAAUUCAUUUUUUGCCUACUCUGCCGCAUCUACACAGUCAGAUGUGAUUUGGGUUAAAGUUCAUUGAAUCAUG
RNAcentral lists this long non-coding RNA (614 nucleotides) under Pongo abelii (Sumatran orangutan). RNAcentral's name for it is "lincRNA". Lineage: Eukaryota; Metazoa; Chordata; Mammalia; Primates; Hominidae. The record is from RNAcentral.